Molecule: non-coding RNA, 875 nt
Organism: Pelobates cultripes (western spadefoot toad)
Lineage: Eukaryota; Metazoa; Chordata; Amphibia; Anura; Pelobatidae
Source: the annotation of a GenBank genome assembly
UGGCUUGAAGCCUCUGCACUGCGGAUGACAGUCUUGGGAUCGCUUAUAUGGGGUACCCCAAUAUAUGUCUCGUGGUGGAAUUUAACAGAUGUAUGGGCACGUUAUUGAAGCCUAAAAUGUAAGCAGAAAGUGAAACAGUAACAGGCAUAACAUCAUGCAAACAGUGUGCUGGAGUUUGUAUAGGGCUCUCUGAGGAGACCAACAACGGGAGUUUAGGUGCUGUUAACCGCCUACAGGGGCUCAAAUGAAGUUGUGUUGGCCGGGUCCCAAAUGUGCUUUGUAGCCGUUGCCGCUGACCCCCCUGCGGUGGUGGUUAGAGAAUCUGAUGGGAGACCCAGAGUCUCCAAAAUGGCUGCUGCCCCAUUGAGAUCCUGGACUGAGUAGCAAAUGCUUUCUUGUAGGACCACCAGGGUGUGGGAUCUUUUCCAUCUAUAAGAUAUGUCCCGUGCCUGGAGGAGUGAUGUAAAGGGCUGCCGUGUUUUGCGCCAAGCUAAAGUGGCUCCUGCUAAGCACGCAUAGAGUGUAAGGGAUGAAUUCUCGAAGUUGUAGAGGGACUUCCCCCUGAGAGCACCCAUUACUGCUGCCUUGUCCUGCCCAUUUUGGAGACGUACGAUUAGGUCUCGUGGUGUCGUAGGCUGGUUCCUUCUUAGGUCUCGGAAUCCGGAACAUUCCCUCCCAACCUCCACCAGUUUGGGGGCGUAGUCUUGCACUCCGUAGAUGUCUCAGGAAGUGUGGUAAUUCCGCUUCGGGGACCUUCGCCACUACCCCUCUGAUGUUGAGGUUAUUGCUGCGUCUGGAGUCCUCCAGUAUUGCAUGAAGUGUUUAGAAAUGAAAGCAUGUCUUACUGGGUUUUUCCACUCUCUCUGUAGUAGUUC